Molecule: ribosomal RNA, 279 nt
Filed under: uncultured bacterium
Lineage: Bacteria
Description: partial 16S ribosomal RNA
Rfam family: Bacterial small subunit ribosomal RNA
Source: RNAcentral
UGCCAGCCGCCGCGGUAAUACGGAGGGGGCUAGCGUUAUUCGGAAUUAUUGGGCGUAAAGGGUGCGUAGGCGGUUUAUUAUGUUAAAAGUAAAAUCCCAAAGCUUAACUUUGGAACAUCUUUUAAAACUAAUAGACUUGAGAUCGAUAGGAGAUAGUGGAAUUUCUAGUGUAGAGAUAGAAUUCAUAAAUAUUAGAAGGAACACCAGUGGCGAAGGCGACUAUCUAAAUCGAUACUGACGCUGAGGUACGAAAGCGUGGGGAGCAAACGGGAUUAGAUA